RNAcentral lists this ribosomal RNA (305 nucleotides) under uncultured bacterium. Its description in RNAcentral is "bacterial SSU rRNA". It matches the Rfam family "Bacterial small subunit ribosomal RNA", at positions 338 to 660 of the family's 1533-position model. The record is from RNAcentral.
CCUACGGGACGCAGCAGUGGGGAAUAUUGCACAAUGGGGGAAACCCUGAUGCAGCGACGCCGCGUGAGUGAAGAAGUAAUUCGUUAUGUAAAGCUCUAUCAGCAGGGAAGAAAAUGACGGUACCUGAGUAAGAAGCCCCGGCUAACUACGUGCCAGCAGCCGCAGUAAUACGUAGGGGGCAAGCGUUAUCCGGAUUUACUGGGUGUAAAGGGGGCGCAGACGGCAGCGCAAGCCAGGAGUGAAAGCCCGGGGCCCAACCCCGGGACUGCUCUUGGAACUGCGCGGCCGGAGUGCAGGAGGGGCAG